This 517-nucleotide unclassified non-coding RNA is filed under the name uncultured Diversispora. RNAcentral describes it as "SSU rRNA". It matches the Rfam family "Eukaryotic small subunit ribosomal RNA", at positions 569 to 1088 of the family's 1831-position model. The record is from RNAcentral. Lineage: Eukaryota; Fungi; Glomeromycota; Glomeromycetes; Diversisporales; Diversisporaceae.
AGCAGCCGCGGUAAUUCCAGCUCCAAUAGCGUAUAUUAAAGUUGUUGCAGUUAAAAGCUCGUAGUUGAACUUCGGGGUCUACCCAUUGGUCAGGCUUAAUUGUCUGCACUGGUGGGAUGGAUCUCUACCUUCUGAGGAACUUUCAUGCCAUUUAUUUGGUGUGAUGGGAAAUCAGGACUGUUACUUUGAAAAAUUGAGUGUUUAAAGCAGACUAUCGUCUGAAUACAUUAGCAUGGAAUAAUGAAAUAGGACGGACUGAUUCUAUUUCGUUGGUUUCUAGGAUCACCGUAAUGAUUAAUAGGGAUAGUUGGGGGCAUUAGUAUUCAAUUGUCAGAGGUGAAAUUCUUGGAUUUAUUGAAGACUAACUACUGCGAAAGCAUUUGCCAAGGAUGUUUUCAUUAAUCAAGAACGAAAGUUAGGGGAUCGAAGACGAUCAGAUACCGUCGUAGUCUUAACCAUAAACUAUGCCGACUAGGGAUCGGACGAAGUUAAUUUUAUAAUGACGCGUUCGGUACCG